UGCGAUCGUGGCGGAAUUGGCAGACGCGCAGGACUAAGGAUCCUGUGGUAGAAAUACCGUGAGGGUUCGACCCCCUCCGUUCGCAU
This 86-nucleotide transfer RNA is filed under the name Weissella thailandensis. RNAcentral's name for it is "tRNA-Leu". It matches the Rfam family "tRNA". Rfam says of the family: Transfer RNA (tRNA) molecules are approximately 80 nucleotides in length. Their secondary structure includes four short double-helical elements and three loops (D, anti-codon, and T loops). Lineage: Bacteria; Bacillati; Bacillota; Bacilli; Lactobacillales; Lactobacillaceae. The record is from RNAcentral.